RNAcentral lists this ribosomal RNA (481 nucleotides) under uncultured bacterium. Its description in RNAcentral is "partial 16S ribosomal RNA". It matches the Rfam family "Bacterial small subunit ribosomal RNA", at positions 28 to 507 of the family's 1533-position model. The record is from RNAcentral.
GAUGAACGCUGGCGGCGUGCCUAACACAUGCAAGUCGAACGGAGAUUACGGACGGAAGUUUUCGGAUGGAAGCCUGUAAUUCUUAGUGGCGGACGGGUGAGUAACGCGUGGGCAACCUGCCCUAUACAGGGGGAUAGCAGCUGGAAACGGCUGGUAAGACCGCAUAAGUCGGUUAAAUCGCAUGAUUUGAUCGGGAAAUGAGCAAUCAGGUAUAGGAUGGGCCCGCGUCCGAUUAGCCAGUUGGCAGGGUAAAAGCCUACCAAAGCGACGAUCGGUAGCCGGACUGAGAGGUCGGACGGCCACAUUGGGACUGAGACACGGCCCAAACUCCUACGGGAAGCAGCAGUGGGGGAUAUUGCACAAUGGAGGAAACUCUGAUGCAGCGACGCCGCGUGAGUGAAGAAGUAUUUCGGUAUGUAAAGCUCUAUCAGCAGGGAAGAUGAUGACGGUACCUGACUAAGAAGCCCCGGCUAACUACGUG